GGAUAGUUAUGUACUGUUGAAGGGGACACUCCUCUGGUACACUAUUGCAUGCCUGGAAUUCCAUGGUAUUCUUUGUGAUGUCACUAGUGUUAUGGAAACAGAAGCUGCCCUUGUGGUAUUUUGUUAAUGCUUAUUGUUUUAGACACAGACAUGUUUUCUAGGAUUAUCGAGUUAUUUACAGGAAAAACAGAGUGCAUUGAGAGAUGAGAGAGAAAAAAUGAUAUUAGGACUUCUUUCUUGUUAUAAAUAUGCAAAAUAAAUAAUCUGGUGUAAAGCAGAGAGAGUAAGCCCUGAGCCAGUACUGGGGAACUUCCUGGAGAAGCUGUGCUUGGGUCAGACCUUCUAGGAGCAGGACUUAUGGUCUGAAACAUCUGGACUUUUAAAGAAGGGACCAAGCGUCAAGAAUAUCUGAUGAAUAUUUGGCAGACAGCCAGAAAUUGACAAGCAUGCAGGUCUGCUGGGAAGGCAUCAUGCCAACCUUCCACCAUCAAUGAGCAAGUUCAGCAGAUUAAGAAGUAGGAGAAAUUGACUAUUGAGCUCAAGAAGAAAACCUAAAAGCAGAAGCUGUGUUUGAAUAACAGACGAGAUAUGGCAAGCAGUGUGUGAGCUCUCAUCCUGGAUUUUAAUAGAGAGAGAUGCAUUUUCUGUCCUCAGAGGAACACAGAAAGUUGGUCAGCUACAGAAGCACAGUAACUUAAACUUAGAUAAGUAAACUUUUGUUUUUUUAUUUAUUUUAAAGAUUUAUUUUAUUUGAUUUUUAUGAGUAUACUGUACCUGUCAGACUCACCAGACUCACCUGUCAUUAUGAAUGGUUGGAUGCCACGAUGAGUACACUUGGAAUUGAACUCAUGACAUUUGGAAAGACAGGCAGUGUUCUUAAAUGCUGAAUAAACUUCCUAGUCUAAACUACUACUACUACCACUACUACUACUACUACUACUAC
Non-coding RNA from Rattus norvegicus (Norway rat), 943 nucleotides. Lineage: Eukaryota; Metazoa; Chordata; Mammalia; Rodentia; Muridae. The record is from RefSeq and is a predicted model, not a curated record.